Molecule: ribosomal RNA, 490 nt
Filed under: uncultured bacterium
Lineage: Bacteria
Description: partial 16S ribosomal RNA
Rfam family: Bacterial small subunit ribosomal RNA
Source: RNAcentral
AGUGAACGCUGGCGGCAGGCCUAAUACAUGCAAGUCGAACGGCAGCACAGUGGAGCUUGCUCCAUGGGUGGCGAGUGGCGGACGGGUGAGGAAUACAUGGGAAUCUGCCCAGUCGUGGGGGAUAACGUAGGGAAACUUACGCUAAUACCGCAUGCGCCCUUCGGGGGAAAGCCGGGGACCUUCGGGCCUGGCGCGAUUGGAUGAGCCCAUGUUCGAUUAGCUAGUUGGCGGGGUAAAGGCCCACCAAGGCGACGAUCGAUAGCUGGUCUGAGAGGAUGAUCAGCCACCCUGGGACUGAGACACGGCCCAGACUCCUACGGGAGGCAGCAGUAGGGAAUAUUGGACAAUGGGCGCAAGCCUGAUCCAGCCAUGCCGCGUGAGUGAAGAAGGCCCUCGGGUUGUAAAGCUCUUUUGUCCGGGAAGAAAAGCAUCGGGCUAAUACCUCGGUGUUCUGACGGUACCGGAAGAAUAAGCACCGGCUAACUUCGUG